Panthera uncia (snow leopard) is the source of this 316-nucleotide long non-coding RNA. RefSeq lists it as uncharacterized. The record is from RefSeq and is a predicted model, not a curated record. Lineage: Eukaryota; Metazoa; Chordata; Mammalia; Carnivora; Felidae. The transcript has 3 exons.
CCUAGCAAACACAGGUGCCCCGGGCCAGACAUCUCUUCCCGCUUCCCCGGGGACUCCUUUGCGGCGCAGCUCCGGCGGGGCUCCUGUCCGCGGCUCCUUCUUUCUCACCUCUGCCGUUCGGACGCCGACCCCAUCGGCCUCCCGGCGAGGCCCCAGCGGCAGGACGCGCUCCUGAACCGUCCCUUCCGCCGCUGGUUUUCCGCGUCCCCGAUGAGCGUGCUUAAGUAUGAUGCUGGAAAUCGACUUCGGUUUCAGUUGGAGUUGGAAUUCGUGCAGUGUUUAGCCAACCCCAAUUACCUUAAUUUUCUUGCCCAAA